AUCAACUUUCGAUGGUAGGAUAGAGGCCUACCAUGGUGGUAACGGGUAACGGGGUGUUAGGGCACGACACCGGAGAGGGAGCCUGAGAAACGGCUACCACAUCCAAGGAUGGCAGCAGGCGCGCAAAUUACCCAAUCCCGACACGGGGAGGUAGUGACAAUAAAUAACAAUACGGGGUUCUUUCGGAUUUCGUAAUUGGAAUGAGUACAAUUUAAAUCUCUUAACGAGGAACAAUUGGAGGGCAAGUCUGGUGCCAGCAGCCGCGGUAAUUCCAGCUCCAAUAGCGUAUAUUAAAGUUGCUGCAGUUAAAAAGCUCGUAGUUGGAUUUCGGGACCAAUAUGUCGGUCGUGCCUCGGUACGUACUGGCAUCGUUGGUUUCUCCCUUCUGACGAACCAUGAUGUCAUUCAUUUGGUGUCGCGGGGAAUCAGGACUGUUACUUUGAAAAAAUUAGAGUGUUUAAAGCAGGCUCACGCUUGAAUACAUUAGCAUGGAAUAAUGAAAUAGGACGUUUGAUUCUAUUUUGUUGGUUUCUAGGAUCGACGUAAUGAUUAAUAGGGAUAGUUGGGGGCAUUAGUAUUCAAUUGUCAGAGGUGAAAUUCUUGGAUUUAUUGAAGACUAACUACUGCGAAAGCAUUUGCCAAGGAUGUUUUCAUUAAUCAAGAACGAAAGUUAGGGGAUCGAAGACGAUCAGAUACCGUCGUAGUCUUAACCAUAAACUAUGCCGACUAGGGAUCGGAUGAUGUUAAUUUUUUAAUGACUCAUUCGGCGCCUUACGGGAAACCAAAGUGUUUGGGUUC
This 798-nucleotide ribosomal RNA is filed under the name uncultured Glomus. RNAcentral's name for it is "SSU rRNA". It matches the Rfam family "Eukaryotic small subunit ribosomal RNA", at positions 314 to 1114 of the family's 1831-position model. Lineage: Eukaryota; Fungi; Glomeromycota; Glomeromycetes; Glomerales; Glomeraceae. The record is from RNAcentral.